GACGAACGCUGGCGGCGUGCCUAACACAUGCAAGUCGAACGGAAAGGCCCUGCUUUUGUGGGGUGCUCGAGUGGCGAACGGGUGAGUAACACGUGAGUAACCUGUCCUUGACUUUGGGAUAACUUCAGGAAACUGGGGCUAAUACCGGAUAGGAGCUCUUGCUGCAUGGUGGGGGUUGGAAAGUUUCGGCGGUUGGGGAUGGACUCGCGGCUUAUCAGCUUGUUGGUGGGGUAGUGGCUUACCAAGGCUUUGACGGGUAGCCGGCCUGAGAGGGUGACCGGCCACAUUGGGACUGAGAUACGGCCCAGACUCCUACGGGAGGCAGCAGUGGGGAAUAUUGCACAAUGGGCGGAAGCCUGAUGCAGCAACGCCGCGUGCGGGAUGACGGCCUUCGGGUUGUAAACCGCUUUCGCCUGUGACGAAGCGUGAGUGACGGUAAUGGGUAAAGAAGCACCGGCUAACUACGUG
RNAcentral lists this ribosomal RNA (468 nucleotides) under uncultured bacterium. RNAcentral's name for it is "partial 16S ribosomal RNA". It matches the Rfam family "Bacterial small subunit ribosomal RNA", at positions 28 to 507 of the family's 1533-position model. The record is from RNAcentral.